GAGUUUGAUCGUGGCUCAGAUUGAACGCUGGCGGCAGGCCUAACACAUGCAAGUCGAGCGGAUGACGGGAGCUUGCUCCUUGAUUCAGCGGCGGACGGGUGAGUAAUGCCUAGGAAUCUGCCUGGUAGUGGGGGACAACGUUUCGAAAGGAACGCUAAUACCGCAUACGUCCUACGGGAGAAAGCAGGGGACCUUCGGGCCUUGCGCUAUCAGAUGAGCCUAGGUCGGAUUAGCUAGUUGGUGGGGUAAUGGCUCACCAAGGCGACGAUCCGUAACUGGUCUGAGAGGAUGAUCAGUCACACUGGAACUGAGACACGGUCCAGACUCCUACGGGAGGCAGCAGUGGGGAAUAUUGGACAAUGGGGGCAACCAUGAUCCAGCCAUGCCGCGUGAGUGAAGAAGGCC
RNAcentral lists this ribosomal RNA (405 nucleotides) under bacterium enrichment culture clone ALO1_GLFRUDD03FMJHK. RNAcentral's name for it is "bacterial SSU rRNA". It matches the Rfam family "Bacterial small subunit ribosomal RNA", at positions 9 to 416 of the family's 1533-position model. The record is from RNAcentral.